This is a long non-coding RNA of Suricata suricatta (meerkat), 512 nucleotides long. RefSeq lists it as uncharacterized. The transcript is spliced from 3 exons. Lineage: Eukaryota; Metazoa; Chordata; Mammalia; Carnivora; Herpestidae. The record is from RefSeq and is a predicted model, not a curated record.
AUGGAACUAGGCAACCUGGCCCCUGGAGCUACAUAUGUGUAGGUUUUCAACUAUCCAGAAAAGGAAAUAUGCAUCUAGCUCCAAGACCUGGUGUACAUAUUACAGGAUAUAAGGAUAAGGUACUUAGCAAACCAUUCCCUCAGAUGAAGAAAUGUUCCAGUCUGAACUCAACUGCCAUAGACAAAUAAAUAAAAGCAGAGACCCAGGAGCUUGAAUUCAGUGAGAAAGGGGAAUCUGGUUACCUGGAAAGGCAGGCUUUAGUAACUGCACUGUGGAGAUUUUCAUGAGGGUACUGUGACAGCCGACGAGAAAUCCGCAGCAGCUGUCUGGUAGAGAGUGAUGCUGCCAAGGACUGUGCCUAUCAAAAGGCAAGGACAUCCUGAUGAGAGUCUUGUUUCAACCUGCUGAGAGUCCCUUUAGAUGAGUCUCAGAGCAGAAUUCAUUACUCCUGAUGGACAAGGCCACACUUAAAAUAAAUAUGUGCUGUUAAUGAAUUACAAAUAAAAAUAAAC